AACACACAACACGUGAACCAGACUUCGUUCGAUGCACCUACCUAUACGUGUACACUUAUAUACGUACGCCAUUGUGAACUAUGUGCACGUGUGUGAACGCUCAUUCCGCUAAUCUUGCGUAGGCACGCAUGUUGCUCGUGGUUGUCGGAAAUGCGACAUCGUCGACGUCGCUCGUCACGGAACAAGAAGGCCUUACGUGGCUGCGCCUGCAUAUACAUCGUCACAGUGUGUACAACAGUCGUUGCACCAACACGGCCAUACUAUUAUACAGAGUAUGUAUCACUUAAGCUUCAAUAUCAUAAAACACAGUCUUGGACUUUGCUCAGUACGAUCAAACUUAUUUUGGUAUAAUAACGGAAGAAUGAGAAAAUAUCGUACAUCUUAAGGCCAGUGAGAGAAGAUUUCAGAAACGAGAAAAUAAUUUGGAUAAUUCUAUGGUAGAGUUAUCUUGAUCAACGAGGAACUAUCAGCUGAGAGUAUUAACAUUGAACAAACUUCUUUCCUUUUGAUGAGCAGAAGUUAUAUCCUUGUAGGAAACUAUAGCCAUCGAGCUGUCAAUGUAAAUGUCAGAUAUAUUUCUCACACCACUGAUAGCCUGCAGGUAAAUAAUCUACUUUCAAGUAUAGAUCAGAGAUGAUUAAAAAGUUGUUGAUAAUAGAAUUUACGUUAAAUCUGCAUUGCGUUACGAGGCAAAUUACUCAGCUUGAAUAAAUUAUUCUUAUAAAUUAGACGACUAUUCUAUACUUACUUAAAUUGAAAUGCAAAUGGUUCUAGAUAGAAAAAGAGAAUGAAUGAUCGAAGAUAUAUUCCUUUUCUCUAACAUUGUGUCAAACGUUUAAUAAGGAGACGAUAAAACAACUUAACGAAAGGAACAAAAAGGAAACUUAACGUUAACGAGUUAACAAGUUACGGAAAAUGUUCGCUUUCUCAUUGAAAUUUUCGCUUGUCGCGUUAAUUUAUAUUCGAAGACUGCGAUGAUACUCUGAAAGAUUGGUGAUACAAUUUAUUGUCACGUUACAUAGUAACAAUGUCUGAUAUUGGCGGAUAUUAGAUUUGUAACGCGAUAGUUUGGAAAAUACGUCGGUGGUGAACAUAAAUUCAUUUAUUCCCGCGAAGCAUGGGUGUCUGAAAAUGUUUUUUCGUGACGUUUGACAGUUUGUUUUAUGGAGACAGGUAACAAAAAAAUGUUUCGUAAUUAUGCAGCUGAAAAAUGCUCUAUCACGGAAUCAUGGCGGUGGCAGGAGCCGUAAGACAGAAAGCCGUUCAAUUUUUUCGUCGUUUCUCAUUUCUGUAUGACACGAUACGCGUUCAUGUUCGAAAGAAAUAUUCGAUUCGCAUGGAAAGUUCGUAAUUAAUACAUUAUUUUUCAUCCGAGGAAAAUAAGUACUUGGCGAAAUUUACUUCUCUGCGUAAAUUUUACUUUCCACUGGGAUGUUUUGUGUUUUAAUCAAGUCUCGUCGUUGACAAAUAUUUCUCUAAUCGAAUUAAAAUUUUCAUAAAGAUACAUGUUUAAGUAACCAUUCGUUGUUGACAGAUGUCACACUGCUUGUCACAGUUGUCAUAUCAGCCAACUAACGAUAUUAUCGCUAAGGUAGAAAUAGAUACGUAAGACGAUGAAAGCAUACGAGAAUAAUCAUACACUUGGUGUUAAUCGCCGAUUUAUUUGCAAGUUUAAAGGUUAAUCGUGUAAAAAAUGACUGCAAAUAAAUAGAUGUCCGAAAGAUACGAUUAUCGAGCAAACGUAAAAUAACUCGAUGAUACGAAGGACGUGGGCUGGAUCGAAAACAGGAUGACUUGAGAAUUCGAAGAAGAUGACAGAUCUCUGUGCAAUAUGUGUGCAUGCGUGUACGUGUGUUGUAAUAAUUCGUAACAUUUUAAAUCCACCGAAAUAAAACAUUGAUAAAAAAUAUCCAAGAUUCUUCGUAAAAAUAAAAUCGACGAAUCUAUGAACAAACAAAGAAUACACGCGAAGACAAUGCCUUUAUUUCUGACACGGCUUGGAUGAUAAUCGCUAAAAAAAAUUACUUCAAACACAAUACAACAGUUAGGCAACCUAUUCGGUAAAAACGUCACAGACUUCUACAGACAGCUAUUAUACAAUGGCAGAAAUCAACCUAUCAUCAAAAUUAACGAUAGCAUCGACAAGUUGCAUACUUCUGCCUGGCAUAAUACAUCUGAGUUUAUCACGAGCGCGAAGAUUCCAUCCUCGGCAAAAACUCUGGACAGGAUCCAGUGAAAAGCGAAUGAUUCAGCUGCCAAAAGAACACGAGCCUUUAAGCAGAUCGGUUUGCCCCGUGUUCUUCUUUAUCUACGCCGCCAGAUACCUCGUGUCACUUUUUUUUUCCAAAGAAACACGAAGCCAUCCUAUUGUCAAAGCAACCCUCGCCUCGUAUCAAUGCCGGAACUUCUCUUACACAUCCUUCACCCGCGUUCGUUUUAAUUCGUCCUGUCGAAUCGUUCAGAUACGCGAAUCGUCCCUAAUUGUUUUCGACCAAUACGCACACAUAAAUGCACGUAUAUACACGUACGAGGUAUAUACGUUCGAAGAGAGAAUAUUUAUCGGGAAGCAGCGGAGCAGCGGGUGGCGCGCAACCGUGCGUGUUUCCGAUCAAUUAACAAUCUGUCGGCAAACCCGGGCUGGUUCGAGCCGCCGGUAAUCCGGCAGAAAAUCUGAGCCUGCGAACAAUGAAGUCUCAGCUCGGACUAUGAAAAUAACGGGCGUGUUUCGUCGGGGCUUAAUUCAUCAACGAUAUUCCCGCUGCUUCGGUUCGAGUCCUACGGAGCGACGACGAAACGUGUACGUUGUACAGGACGUUUCAGCUGGAACAGGAUGAUUUUUGGCAUAUAAUAAGAUACGAUUACGUUUUAAGUUGAACUUAUUUUAGGCGAAUUAGGUAGAUGUUUGUGGAAUAUAUCGAGACGUGCCACGUCGAAUUACUGCAAAUUUAGAACGGUUUUGCAUAUUUAAUUGAAAGUAUAUGACAUACUGACGUGUUUCUAGCGUGACCGUUCGUCUAUUGUCUUCGCGUACAUAUAAUUAUUAUUUUAUUAUCGCGUCGUAUUGUGUGUCGUAUCGUAUAAUAAGCAGGAUCAAGCAGGUAUUGUUCCAUUUGUAUCUGCAUAGAAAAUCUGUUCGAAAUACCAAUAGAAAAAACAAACGUUGGCUGGGGCAUUUAGUGAAUCGGUCUGGCGUAUUUUGAAAACUGGGAAAAUUGAAGUCUCCUCAACCUCUCUCUAGCAACGGAGCAAUGGCACGCGAAGAAAAGAAACGCCGCUGAAUUACUCUCAAUGGCGGUGUUUAAUGGGUGAAACGAUUAAUUUCCGCGCGCGAAAACGAUUCGCUUAUUGAAUUUGCCCGACUGACUUUGCGUUUAAUGGACUCGGAUUGAGCAUGGAAGAAAACCCGAGAGCGUAGGAUAAUUCUUCAGAAAUACCCGGCCGAAUCGACAAUUAGCGGCCGAUAUUUUCCACCUUUUUACUGAUCGCGUCGCUUCCAGCCGAGUUGCCUACGAAAAUUCGCGCCGGAAUGCGUCGCGAUCACGAGAAAUCUCGAGAAUCCAAUUGAAUGUAACGAUCAUGCUACAAAUACACGAUUCUCUUUUUAAAAUUAACAAGUUUAGUUUUACACAACGCAUGAAUUAAUGUCACCCGAGUUUAAGUGUUACAGGGAAUCGUUGAUAUCUUUCUUUUAGAAGAAGCAGAUACAUUUCAAACAUUUAUGGACGAGCUGUUGCAAUAAAAUAAUUCUGGAAAGAUGGACUUUACUUUUAAAAACACCUCAAAAAAUCUUUGCGUGUUAAUUGUAUUAAAAUUGUGUAUUAAAAUGUCGAAGCAACGCGUUACUGUAACAAUAAAAGACACCCUUUCGCUCCAUCCGUUCCUUGCACAACGAGUACAUUAAACCCCGUUUCAGUGACCUUAAAUGUUUGUCUCUCGUACUCGAAAUACAAUGCGUUCGUUCGGGUUAGCAUAAUAAUAUCUUUCUUUUAUUUAAAAAAGGCGUAUUACCUCUUUGCAGUUUCAAAUUGAAAACUAAAUCAACAUUAUUCUUUGCGCCGUUAUAUUUUCACGGUAAUCACAUCAUUUGAAAGAAUAGGUCACGCAACUUUCGACUACGAAACUACCAGUUCUAUAACAAAGUAGCUGAUCGUAAUAGUAGAGUUGAAAAUCAAUUCGAAAAUGAAGUUACACAGAAAUUACAGGACGCUUGUUGCAGACGUACACUUAGCCAAACAUUGUUACACAGCGUAAGUAUUAAUUUUAAUCGUAGAAUUAUCACUAACGAUAGUCUCGCUAAAUAUAGUGGCUCGUUAAUUUAGCGAAUAACCGACUGUUCCGAUACUUUGCGAACUAUACACGUAAAAUGUGUCUAGGAAUGUUUUAUCAAUCAUUGUAAACACACGUGUAAUUGACGUAAGUUUUUCAAGAAAGAAAUCCUCGUAUAGCCGCGUGUUGCCGUAUAAAACUACGUACGUACGCUGCUCAAAGACCAAAGGAUCG
Molecule: long non-coding RNA, 4500 nt
Organism: Bombus pyrosoma
Lineage: Eukaryota; Metazoa; Arthropoda; Insecta; Hymenoptera; Apidae
Exons: 3
Source: RefSeq, a predicted model, not a curated record